Molecule: transfer-messenger RNA, 388 nt
Filed under: Microbispora oryzae
Lineage: Bacteria; Bacillati; Actinomycetota; Actinomycetes; Streptosporangiales; Streptosporangiaceae
Description: Standard tmRNA
Rfam family: transfer-messenger RNA
About the family: Bacterial tmRNA, also known as 10Sa RNA or SsrA, is named for its dual tRNA and mRNA-like properties. Its role is to liberate the mRNA from a stalled ribosome.
Source: Rfam by way of RNAcentral
GGGGGUGACCGGUUUCGACUUCGGCAUUGCAAGUCAGGGGAAGCGGGUCGGGGACUGCGGACAUAACCCCGUCAACACUGUGACCGCACACCAAUAAGUGCCAAUAACACGCGCACUGAGGUGAGCCAGGGUUCCCUGGCUCUCGCUGCCUAAGAUCAGCGAAUAACCUCUGUCAGCCCGGGAGUGCCUCCGGCCCGGAGCUGGCAUCGCUAGGAGGCUCAACCGUUCGACCCGGUCACGGGGACGAUCGGGAAACCAAACAGUGACUGGGCCCGUCGGCGACUCGCCUGUGAGAUUGCCGGGGCCGAGAAAAUCGCUACAGGCUGCACCCGGAGAAGCCCUUUCUUGGUGUUGAAGGACGCGGGUUCGAUUCCCGCCACCUCCACUC